CGGUUUUAAUUGGGGCCCAAUAAUUCGUGGGGAUUCAGAUCUCCAUCAGAUCUUUCUGCAAUGGAUUACGGAAACAACUUCAAGAUUCUGACACUUAUGGUUUAGUCAAAAAGGUCAACAAUCGAAAAGGAGAUAUUAUAAUGGCGUUAAGGAUUUUGAUGGUUUGGACCGAAUUUUCAAGAGGUGGAAGGAUCGUGGUUAUAAUACCAGUAAUAAAAUGA
Molecule: long non-coding RNA, 221 nt
Organism: Lolium rigidum
Lineage: Eukaryota; Viridiplantae; Streptophyta; Magnoliopsida; Poales; Poaceae
Exons: 3
Source: RefSeq, a predicted model, not a curated record